GAUGAACGCUGGCGGCGUGCCUAAUACAUGCAAGUCGAGCGAACAGAUGAGAAGCUUGCUUCUCUGAUGUUAGCGGCGGACGGGUGAGUAACACGUGGGUAACCUACCUAUAAGACUGGGAUAACUCCGGGAAACCGGGGCUAAUACCGGAUAAUAUUUUGAACCGCAUGGUUCAAUAGUGAAAGACGGUUUCGGCUGUCACUUAUAGAUGGACCCGCGCCGUAUUAGCUAGUUGGUAAGGUAACGGCUUACCAAGGCGACGAUACGUAGCCGACCCGAGAGGGUGAUCGGCCACACUGGAACUGAGACACGGUCCAGACUCCUACGGGAGGCAGCAGUAGGGAAUCUUCCGCAAUGGGCGAAAGCCUGACGGAGCAACGCCGCGUGAGUGAUGAAGGUCUUCGGAUCGUAAAACCCUGUUGUUAGGGAAGAACAAAUUUGUUAGUAACUGAACAAGUCUUGACGGUACCUAACCAGAAAGCCACGGCUAACUACGUGCCAGCAGCCGCGGUAA
Molecule: ribosomal RNA, 514 nt
Filed under: uncultured bacterium
Lineage: Bacteria
Description: partial 16S ribosomal RNA
Rfam family: Bacterial small subunit ribosomal RNA
Source: RNAcentral